RNAcentral lists this ribosomal RNA (1406 nucleotides) under uncultured bacterium. Its description in RNAcentral is "bacterial SSU rRNA". It matches the Rfam family "Bacterial small subunit ribosomal RNA". The record is from RNAcentral.
UUAGAGUUUGAUCCUGGCUCAGAACGAACGCUGGCGGCGCGUCUUAAGCAUGCAAGUCGAACGGCAAGAUCGGUGCUUGCACUGAUCCUAGAGUGGCGGACUGGUGAGUAACGCGUGGGUGACGUACCCUUUAGAUGGGGAUAGCUGUUAGAAAUAGCAGAUAAUACCGAAUAAGCUCUCAUAUGUUAGAGGUGUGAGAGGAAAGGAACUUUUGUUCCGCUGAAGGAACGGCCCGCGUACUAUUAGCUAGUUGGUGAGGUAACGGCUCACCAAGGCGACGAUAGUUACCCGGCCUAAGAGGGUGAUCGGGCACAUUGGGACUGAGAUACGGCCCAGACUCCUACGGGAGGCAGCAGCUAAGAAUAUUCCGCAAUGGACGAAAGUCUGACGGAGCGACGCCGCGUGGAUGAUGAAGGUCGGAAGAUUGUAAAAUCCUUUUAUGACUGAGGAAUAAGUCUGUUGAGAGAAACGGCAGAUGGUGACUGUAGGUCAUGAAUAAGCAACGGCUAAUUACGUGCCAGCAGCCGCGGUAACACGUAAGUUGCGAGCGUUGUUCGGAAUUAUUGGGCGUAAAGGGCAUGUAGGCGGUUUUGCAAGCUUGGUGUGAAAGGCAGGAGCUUAACUCCUGGACUGCGCUGAGAACUGCAUAACUAGAGUCACUGAGGGGAAAUCAGAAUUCCUGGUGUAGGGGUGAAAUCUGUAGAUAUCAGGAAGAAUACCAAUGGCGAAGGCAGGUUACCAGCAGAUGACUGACGCUGAGGUGCGAAGGUGCGGGGAGCAAACAGGAUUAGAUACCCUGGUAGUCCGCACAGUAAACUAUGAUAACCAGCUGUCGGCGAUAGAAUGUCGGUGGCCAAGCGAAAGCGAUAAGUUAUCCACCUGGGGAGUACGACCGCAAGGUUGAAACUCAAAGGAAUUGACGGGGGCCCGCACAAGCGGAGGAACAUGUGGUUUAAUUCGAUGAUACGCGAGGAACCUUACCCGGGCUCGAACGGUACCGGACGACUUCAGAGAUGGAGUUUCCCUUCGGGGCUGGUAUCGAGGUGCUGCAUGGUUGUCGUCAGCUCGUGCCGUGAGGUGUCGGCUUAAGUGCCAUAACGAGCGCAACCCUUGUUGACAGUUGCCAUCAGGUAAAGCUGGGGACUCUGCCGAGACUGCCACCGUAAGGUGUGAGGAAGGGGGGGAUGACGUCAAAUCAGCACGGCCCUUAUGUCCGGGGCGACACACGUGUUACAAUGGUGACUACAGAGGGAAGCUACAUGGCGACAGGAUGCGAAUCUCGAAAAGUCAUCCCAGUUCGGAUCGGAGUCUGCAACUCGACUCCGUGAAGUUGGAUUCGCUAGUAAUCGCGCAUCAGCCAUGGCGCGGUGAAUACGUUCCCGGGCCUUGCACACACCGCCCGUCAA